CCUACGGGGUGCAGCAGUGAGGAAUAUUGGUCAAUGGACGAGAGUCUGAACCAGCCAAGUAGCGUGAAGGAUGACUGCCCUAUGGGUUGUAAACUUCUUUUAUAUGGGAAUAAAAUGUUCCACGUGUGGGUUUUUGUAUGUACCAUAUGAAUAAGGAUCGGCUAACUCCGUGCCAGCAGCCGCGGUAAUACGGAGGAUCCGAGCGUUAUCCGGAUUUAUUGGGUUUAAAGGGAGCGUAGGUGGAUUGUUAAGUCAGUUGUGAAAGUUUGCGGCUCAACCGUAAAAUUGCAGUUGAAACUGGCAGUCUUGAGUACAGUAGAGGUGGGCGGAAUUCGUGGUGUAGCGGUGAAAUGCUUAGAUAUCACGAAGAACUCCGAUUGCGAAGGCAGCUCACUGAACUGCAACUGACACUGAGGCUCGAAAGUGUGGGUAUCAAACAGGAUUAGAUACCCCUGUAGUC
Molecule: ribosomal RNA, 460 nt
Filed under: uncultured bacterium
Lineage: Bacteria
Description: partial 16S ribosomal RNA
Rfam family: Bacterial small subunit ribosomal RNA
Source: RNAcentral